AUUGUCCUAGACCUGCCAGCACCACAGACACAGUGGCUCUGCUGUACCUGUAACACUGGGACAAAGAGAAAGUGCUAUUUCUUUUUUUACUUUCUUUU
Small nucleolar RNA from Piliocolobus tephrosceles (Ugandan red Colobus), 98 nucleotides. Lineage: Eukaryota; Metazoa; Chordata; Mammalia; Primates; Cercopithecidae. The record is from Ensembl.